This 73-nucleotide transfer RNA is filed under the name Stegodyphus mimosarum. It matches the Rfam family "tRNA". Rfam says of the family: Transfer RNA (tRNA) molecules are approximately 80 nucleotides in length. Their secondary structure includes four short double-helical elements and three loops (D, anti-codon, and T loops). Lineage: Eukaryota; Metazoa; Arthropoda; Arachnida; Araneae; Eresidae. The record is from Rfam by way of RNAcentral.
GCCUUCGUGGUGUAGUGGUCAGCACGCUCGGCGCGUAUUCGAGAGAUCCGUGGUUCGAGUCCCGGCGAAGGCA